RNAcentral lists this ribosomal RNA (253 nucleotides) under uncultured bacterium. RNAcentral describes it as "partial 16S ribosomal RNA". It matches the Rfam family "Bacterial small subunit ribosomal RNA", at positions 524 to 776 of the family's 1533-position model. The record is from RNAcentral.
UACAGAGGUGGCAAGAGUUGUUCGGAAUUACUGGGCGUAAAGGGCGCGUAGGCGGCCUGUUAAGUCCCGUGUGAAAUCCCUCGGCUCAACCGAGGAACUGCACGGGAAACUGGCGGGCUUGGGUUCGGGAGAGGGAAGCGGAAUUCCGGGUGUAGCGGUGAAAUGCGUAGAGAUCCGGAGGAACACCGGUGGCGAAGGCGGCUUCCUGGUCCGACACUGACGCUGAGGCGCGAAAGCUAGGGGAGCAUACGGG